This 468-nucleotide ribosomal RNA is filed under the name uncultured bacterium. RNAcentral describes it as "partial 16S ribosomal RNA". It matches the Rfam family "Bacterial small subunit ribosomal RNA", at positions 28 to 507 of the family's 1533-position model. The record is from RNAcentral.
GACGAACGCUGGCGGCGUGCUUAACACAUGCAAGUCGAACGGAAAGGCCCUGCUUUUGUGGGGUGCUCGAGUGGCGAACGGGUGAGUAACACGUGAGUAACCUGCCCUUGACUUUGGGAUAACUUCAGGAAACUGGGGCUAAUACCGGAUAGGAGCUCCUGCUGCAUGGUGGGGGUUGGAAAGUUUCGGCGGUUGGGGAUGGACUCGCGGCUUAUCAGCUUGUUGGUGGGGUAGUGGCUUACCAAGGCUUUGACGGGUAGCCGGCCUGAGAGGGUGACCGGCCACAAUGGGACUGAGGUACGGCCCAGACUCCUACGGGGGGCAGCAGUGGGGAAUAUUGCACAAUGGGCGGAAGCCUGAUGCAGCAACGCCGCGUGCGGGAUGACGGCCUUCGGGUUGUAAACCGCUUUCGCCUGUGACGAAGCGUGAGUGACGGUAAUGGGUAAAGAAGCACCGGCUAACUACGUG